GAUCCCGUAGCUCAGCAGGAUAGAGCACUAGAUUCCUAAUCUGGGGGUCGCGCGUUCGAAUCGCGCCGGGAUCG
This 74-nucleotide transfer RNA is filed under the name Liberibacter crescens BT-1. It matches the Rfam family "tRNA". Rfam says of the family: Transfer RNA (tRNA) molecules are approximately 80 nucleotides in length. Their secondary structure includes four short double-helical elements and three loops (D, anti-codon, and T loops). Lineage: Bacteria; Pseudomonadati; Pseudomonadota; Alphaproteobacteria; Hyphomicrobiales; Rhizobiaceae. The record is from Rfam by way of RNAcentral.